Molecule: ribosomal RNA, 465 nt
Filed under: Vreelandella stevensii
Lineage: Bacteria; Pseudomonadati; Pseudomonadota; Gammaproteobacteria; Oceanospirillales; Halomonadaceae
Description: partial 16S ribosomal RNA
Rfam family: Bacterial small subunit ribosomal RNA
Source: RNAcentral
CCUACGGGGGGCAGCAGUGGGGAAUAUUGGACAAUGGGGGCAACCCUGAUCCAGCCAUGCCGCGUGUGUGAAGAAGGCCCUCGGGUUGUAAAGCACUUUCAGUGAUGAAGAACGCCUGGUGGUUAAUACCCAUCAGGAAAGACAUCACUCACAGAAGAAGCACCGGCUAACUCCGUGCCAGCAGCCGCGGUAAUACGGAGGGUGCGAGCGUUAAUCGGAAUUACUGGGCGUAAAGCGCGCGUAGGUGGCUUGAUAAGCCGGUUGUGAAAGCCCCGGGCUCAACCUGGGAACGGCAUCCGGAACUGUCAAGCUAGAGUGCAGGAGAGGAAGGUAGAAUUCCCGGUGUAGCGGUGAAAUGCGUAGAGAUCGGGAGGAAUACCAGUGGCGAAGGCGGCCUUCUGGACUGACACUGACACUGAGGUGCGAAAGCGUGGGUAGCAAACAGGAUUAGAUACCCCGGUAGUC